AACGCACAUUGCGCCCCCCGGUAUUCCGGGGGGCAUGCCUGUCCGAGCGUCAUUGCACCCCCUCAAGCCCGGCUUGUGCGUUGGGCCGCGUCCCCCCGGGGGACGGGCCCGAAAGGCAGUGGCGGCGUCGUGCUCCGGUGCCCGAGCGUAUGGGGCUCUGUCACCCGCUCUGGAGGCCCGGCCGGCGUCGGCUUCAGCGUCUGACCUUCUGUGGUUGACCUCGGAUCAGGUAGGGAUACCCGCUGAACUUAA
RNAcentral lists this unclassified non-coding RNA (252 nucleotides) under uncultured fungus. Its description in RNAcentral is "partial contains 5.8S ribosomal RNA, internal transcribed spacer 2, and large subunit ribosomal RNA". The stretch from base 1 to 52 matches the Rfam family "5.8S ribosomal RNA", at positions 103 to 154 of the family's 154-position model. Lineage: Eukaryota; Fungi. The record is from RNAcentral.